AUCUUUUCGGGCCAAUUAUGGUGAAACAGAGAAGAAGCCAGGUAAAGAGGUACGGCUGUAUUUUUACCUGUUUGACGUCGCGUGUCGUACACAUUGAGAUCGUAGAUUCGUUGGACACGGACUCGUUUUUGAAUGGCCUUAGGCGUUUUAUUGGCAGACGAGGGAAUCCGAAGAUUAUACGAAGUGACAACGGCACAAAUUUUAAGUGCGGAGAACGUGAACUUCGCGAAGCUAUUGGUAAAUGGAAUGAAAAAAAGAU
Paramuricea clavata is the source of this 259-nucleotide non-coding RNA. NCBI's taxonomy places the organism in Eukaryota, Metazoa, Cnidaria, Anthozoa, Malacalcyonacea, Plexauridae. The record is from the annotation of a GenBank genome assembly.